AUACCAUGACAAAGACAUCUCCUGAGUAACUUCUUGAAUCUUUUCCAUGCAUCAUACAAGCUAUCAUCUUUAAAUUGAGGGAAAGAUGUGAUUGCAUUCCUCGAUUUU
This is a non-coding RNA of Citrus sinensis (sweet orange), 108 nucleotides long. Lineage: Eukaryota; Viridiplantae; Streptophyta; Magnoliopsida; Sapindales; Rutaceae. The record is from Rfam.